GGGGAUUUAGCUCAGCUGCAAAAGCCCCUGCCUUGAAAGCAGGCAGUUGUGAGUUCGAUUCCCAGUUCCGG
Transfer RNA from Cavia porcellus (domestic guinea pig), 71 nucleotides. It matches the Rfam family "tRNA". From Rfam's summary of the family: Transfer RNA (tRNA) molecules are approximately 80 nucleotides in length. Their secondary structure includes four short double-helical elements and three loops (D, anti-codon, and T loops). Further hydrogen bonds mediate the characteristic L-shaped molecular structure. tRNAs have two regions of fundamental functional importance: the anti-codon, which is responsible for specific mRNA codon recognition, and the 3' end, to which the tRNAs corresponding amino acid is attached (by aminoacyl-tRNA synthetases). tRNAs cope with the degeneracy of the genetic code in two manners: having more than one tRNA (with a specific anti-codon) for a particular amino acid; and 'wobble' base-pairing, i.e. permitting non-standard base-pairing at the 3rd anti-codon position. The record is from Rfam. NCBI's taxonomy places the organism in Eukaryota, Metazoa, Chordata, Mammalia, Rodentia, Caviidae.